GGAGAGUGGGAAGAGCCACCAAAAUGUUUACAUGCAUGUGUAUUAACAGAAGAAAUUAUGAGAAGACAGAACAUAAUUCCCAAGAGGACAAAGAAUAAAAAGAUUUAUAUCCAGUCAGGGGAUUAUGUUGAAUUUGUGUGUCUAACUGCAUAUCAAAAGGCACAAGGAUCACCUGAGUUUCGUACACAGUGCAUUGAUGGUCACAUCAAUUAUCCCACCUGCUCAAAAUAAGUUACAACUCUUAGUAGACUUCAUAAAUGAUCAUUUGUUUUGAAAGGUUGAUAAUGUCCCCUCCAAACACCAACGAUCACCUAAUAAAUACAGUAAUACUAGACAAGAGAAAUACUCUUGUAAGUUGUUGGUCAGGGUUGUCUUAUAGAACCUAAGAGACUACUUACUUGCAUUGCAUUGGUGGAAGAUAAACACAUAUUGCAGAAGGCACAAUGUACUUCAUCACAGGACCUGAUGCACCCUGAGCUGGAACUGUUCUGAAAGUCUCCUACCUAAGGACCAGCAUUCAUCAUACCAGCAGUUGUCAUAUAAGGAUUCAAAGAAGAAAAUCAACCAACAGCCCAAACCAACUAGCAUACCUAUAAGCAAGGCAAAAGGAAGUGCUAUCUUUUAUCUUCUUUUCUGAAUAGUUCAGUUUGAUUGUCUAGGAUACUCACACCAAAAAUAAAAAAUAAAUAAAUAAAUAAAUAAAUAAAUAAAUAAAUAAAUAAAUAAAUAAAUGCUAGUAUAUUGCU
Molecule: long non-coding RNA, 746 nt
Filed under: Rattus norvegicus (Norway rat)
Lineage: Eukaryota; Metazoa; Chordata; Mammalia; Rodentia; Muridae
Description: long non-coding RNA NONRATT008779
Source: RNAcentral